Molecule: ribosomal RNA, 459 nt
Filed under: uncultured bacterium
Lineage: Bacteria
Description: partial 16S ribosomal RNA
Rfam family: Bacterial small subunit ribosomal RNA
Source: RNAcentral
CCUACGGGAGGCAGCAGUGAGGAAUAUUGGUCAAUGGGCGGGCGCCUGAACCAGCCAAGCCGCGUGAGGUAAGAAGGUACAGCGUAUCGUAAACCUCUUUUGUCAGGGAACACAGGCGGGGACUAGUCCCCGGAUGAGGGUACCUGAAGAAAAAGCAUCGGCUAACGCCGUGCCAGCAGCCGCGGUAAUACGGAGGAUGCGAGCGUUAUCCGGAUUUAUUGGGUUGAAAGGGUGCGCAGGCGGCCUGUUAAGUCAGCGGUAAAAGCCCGGGGCUCAACCCCGGCGAGCCGUUGAAACUGGCGGGCUGGAGUUGGAGAGAAGUACGCGGAAUGCGCGGUGUAGCGGUGAAAUGCUUAGAUAUCACGAAGAACUCCGAUUGCGAAGGCAGCUUACUAAACUGCCACUGACAUUGAUGCUCGAAAGUGUGGGUAUCAAACAGGAUUAGAUACCCGGGUAGUC